CUUUCAUAUUUGUGUCAGAUUAGCACUGCUGAAGCCAGAGAAUGAGGAAAAUAAGCAGAGCCUGGAUACUUCUUUCCUUGGAUGGGUUUCCUAAUUCAUGCUAGCAGUUUAAAUGCUAUUUUUAGAGAGGAAAAUUGAGAAGAGAAGGGAGAGGAUACACAUGAGGCAACCAUAAGAACGUAAGAAAACCCCUGCUGGAACAAUCCAAUGGCCCAUCUAGUCCAGCAUCCCGUUUUCACAGUGGCCAACCAGAUGCCUGUGGGAAGCCCGUAAGCAGGACCUGAGCAAAACAGCAUUCUUUGUUUGUGAUUCUUCAGCUGCUAGUAUUUAGAGACUGGACCUUGGAGGAAGUUACUCGCCCAUUCUCAUCUAAUACCUCAAUGAUUGUUUUAAUCACUCUCGUUUUCUUUGAGUCUGAAGAUGAAGCAAACAGAACAAAGAGCACGCAGUUGAAAAUGUACAUGUCAAAUAUUCUUUGCAUAAGACUCUUCCUCUAAAACUGUCAUCUGAGCAUCUUGCUGGUGUAACAUUUAGUGCUUAUUCAAUGGCUUUUUGGACGAUUUCUUCAGUGAGUACAAAUGAAAGUGUUAUAUUGAAAUGUAUCUUUCCCCUGAUAUACACAUUCUUGUACACAUGUUUUGGUUGGCAAAUUGCAUUGCGAAAAUGGCAGAAAUGCAAAUGUUGAAAGAUAGCUGCAUUUGGGUUCACAUGCGAGUUUGGAAAGUGCAAUUCAGGUGGAAUCACAUUAAAAAUACUUAAAAAUAUAAUAGUUUUGUAAGCCAUCAUGCAAGGGCGUGGGGUGCAGCAGCAGGAUGGCAGGCAGGUGAGGCGUGGGAGUGAGGGAAGCAAGGAUGGUGGGUGGGUAAGCACUUGAGUGGGCAAGUGGGCGAGUGUCAGGUAGGCAGGUGAGCAAGCGAGUGAGCAUUGGGGCGGGCAGGUAGCAGUGACAAUGUGGGAGGCACGUAAGCAGUCAAAGCAGGGUGGCAGUGGUAGCCUGGGUAGGCAGGAGGCUAGCAAACUUCCUAAACGGGUGGCAGCGAGUGCCUGGGGGCCAUUUGGGGAGUUGCCUGGGAUGGUG
Molecule: long non-coding RNA, 1078 nt
Organism: Rhineura floridana
Lineage: Eukaryota; Metazoa; Chordata; Lepidosauria; Squamata; Rhineuridae
Exons: 3
Source: RefSeq, a predicted model, not a curated record